Molecule: long non-coding RNA, 1393 nt
Organism: Coregonus clupeaformis (lake whitefish)
Lineage: Eukaryota; Metazoa; Chordata; Actinopteri; Salmoniformes; Salmonidae
Exons: 3
Source: RefSeq, a predicted model, not a curated record
GUUUGAUGGAGCCCAGGCGGCAGCAUGACAGCAGUGUUUUCUCAGUCCUCCACGGUUCAACCAUCAAGUCUUCCUCUGUCAGCCCUUCAAUCUGGGUUCACCAAUUAGUAACAUGGCAGAAUUAUUCCAGUUGCCUCCUACGAGAGAGUGGUGAAUGAUAUUUAUGACAAGGCCGACUUUGACGGACUCAAGCUAAUCAACUUCAAAGUGAAAUACCUUUGUGUCAUGAGGGAAGAGGACAAGACCAACCCUCUGCAUCGGACCUUCAUCGGCCCAGAGAAGCUGCUCAGUCUGUUCUCUGAGAGAAACUGGGAAAACUACUGUCUGCCCUACCUGCUGACCAACAGGGACUACAGUGGAGUCCUGGGGCUGGCCUGGGAGGGCAAGACAGACACACACCGACACACACGACCACCUUGUCAUCAAUGGCCUGUAAUACUAACCUGCACUAUACUGCAUUUGCACUAUGUACACUUCUGCACAACACUGUAGAUGCACUGUACAUAUUCACCACGGCAGCAUCCCUGCAUCUGCUUAGAUAUAUUCCCUCUGUAAAUUGUAUAUUCCCACUGUAAUCAGCCUAUACUCCAGAGUGUUAUGUUUGAUGUUUACUGUUCCGAUAUUGCUAUAUUCUGUAUGACGUCUGUGUGGACUUGUCUGUAUUCUGUUUGUAUAUUGUCUAUUGCUGGCAGCAACCUUCUCACUGAGGCUAAUUCCAGGUAUGUGUAAAUGUACUUUGCAAAUAAAGGUGAUUCUGAUUCUGACACAAGCACUCUUGUUAUGGGACGUGAUCUAACAGAAUCCCCUCAGCAGUCACAACAUGGACAUAAAAUAUCAAUAACAUGCAUGUCAAUCUCUCCUGGCUCAAAGUAGAGGAGAGAUUGACUGCAUCACUGCUUUUCUUUGUGAGAGGUAUUGACGUGCUGAAUGCACCAAAGUGUCUGUUCAAACAACACACAGCUCAGACACCCAUACAUACCCCACAAGACAUGCCACCAGGGGUCUCUUUACAGUCCCCAAGUCCAGAACAGUAUCUGGGAAACACGCAGUACUAUAUAGAGCAAUGACUACAUGGAACUCUCUUCCACAUCAAGUAACUCAAGCAAGCAGUAAAAUCAGAUUAAAAAACCCCCAGAUAAAACAAAACGGCACAACGCGGACUGUGAAGAGACACACAAACACACACACGCGUACGCACACACACUCUACACACACACACAUUGUACUGUUGUGGUAUUGUGAAUUGUAUAUUGUAAAUGUGUAAUAAGAGAGUAAUAAUGUAAUAAUGACUUGUAUGAUGUAUUAUGUUAUUUCGGAUGUAGGCUGUUAUUGUGUUUUGUUUUAAUGUAAUUGUUUUAACCCUGCUUGUAACCCAUGAAGAGUAGCUGCUGUA